GACGAACGCUGGCGGCGUGCCUAAUACAUGCAAGUUGAGCGCUGAAGGUUGGUACUUGUACCAACUGGAUGAGCAGCGAACGGGUGAGUAACGCGUGGGGAAUCUGCCUUUGAGCGGGGGACAACAUUUGGAAACGAAUGCUAAUACCGCAUAAAAACUUUAAACACAAGUUUUAAGUUUGAAAGAUGCAAUUGCAUCACUCAAAGAUGAUCCCGCGUUGUAUUAGCUAGUUGGUGAGGUAAAGGCUCACCAAGGCGAUGAUACAUAGCCGACCUGAGAGGGUGAUCGGCCACAUUGGGACUGGGACACGGCCCAAACUCCUGCGGGAGGCAGCAGUAGGGAAUCUUCGGCAAUGGACGAAAGUCUGACCGAGCGACGCCGCGUGAGUGAAGAAGGUUUUCGGGUCGUAAAACUCUGUUGGUAGAGAAGAACGUUGGUGAGAGUGGAAAGCUCAUCAAGUGACGGUAACUACCCAGAAAGGGACGGCUAACUACGUG
This 497-nucleotide ribosomal RNA is filed under the name uncultured bacterium. Its description in RNAcentral is "partial 16S ribosomal RNA". It matches the Rfam family "Bacterial small subunit ribosomal RNA", at positions 28 to 507 of the family's 1533-position model. The record is from RNAcentral.